GAGCUCCGUAUGCAUUUUAUGGCAUAGACACGCAUAACGAAUAUGAGAAGCAGAUGAGCACGGGAACUACAGCCAACAUGUAUGAACAGGAGCAGGUUGAACCGAUCUCCAAUGAAAGCCUUGUCCAAACCACAGAAACACACGAGUGCCAUGAAAGAUCUGCCUCAGAACCGUAGAAUCGUGAAAUCGGAACCUGCCUGUGGUUUUCCUUGUGAGCCUACGUUCUGAUUA
Molecule: long non-coding RNA, 231 nt
Organism: Ornithodoros turicata
Lineage: Eukaryota; Metazoa; Arthropoda; Arachnida; Ixodida; Argasidae
Exons: 3
Source: RefSeq, a predicted model, not a curated record